This 2005-nucleotide long non-coding RNA is filed under the name Homo sapiens (human). RNAcentral's name for it is "HSALNT0323015". The record is from RNAcentral. Lineage: Eukaryota; Metazoa; Chordata; Mammalia; Primates; Hominidae.
GAGCCUGGAGUCACAGCUGCCUUCGCUUUAUGACCCUGAGGAAUUUACUUAGCUUCUUGGCCUUCUUGCCUCACUUGAUUCUGGUGUCUUGCUGCCUGUGGCUGUAUCUUCUUCUAAAGACUGAAGCUGAGAAGAAGGCUUGGUUUCCUCCCUUGGCUGCCCCCAAGACUACUGUUGCCACAGGGUGCUUCUUUCUUCCCUUUCUAUUGGUUUUCCCCAGAGAAGACUACGUGUGGAUAUCUACUAUAAAACAUGUGUGCAUGGAAAAUUGUAGGGCCAGAUGCUUCUGGAUUAAGAGAACAUGACCAGAUCUGGAGAAGGAGCAGCUGGGAGGAGGAGCCUGACUUUCUUAGCAAAACCAGUUCCUUUGCUUUCCCAUGUGGUUGGCCUCAGCCUUGUCUUUUAAGUUAAGUGAUGGGGCUAAAAAAAGUAAUGAGCCCCAGGAAGACCUGGGGUCCAGUCCCUGAUCUGCCACUUCAUUGCCUCACAACCUUGGGGAAGUCAUUUAUCCUCUCUGAGCCUCAGUUUCCUCAUUUGCAAAUUUCAAAUAACCAUCCUUCUGUAACUGACAAGGUUGUUGUAAGACUAUAAAGCACAUGUUAUUUUAUUUGUGUCUAUAUAAGGAAUAAUUAUUAUUGAGCUGCAUCAUAUGAAACUUCAAUUUUUGAAAGUCAAAAACAGUCAAACGUUGGUAAUUUUAAAUCAUUUGCUACUAUUUCAAGUAAAAGGAAACCCUGCAGAUGGUGCUUAUGCCAGAGGAGAGAAUAUUAUCCAGGGGGCAAUGGAAAGCUUCUGAAUGAGUUGUAUAAAUUGUUACAGGACUAUAAUAGAGAGAAAGAAUAGGCUUAAGUAUUAUCUUAGACAUGCACAGACAUUCCCAUGAUGGCUGAAUGUUCCCAUUUUAGCUGGAUGCUUAGUUUUGCACAAUUGUAGAGAAAAUCAACAAAAUAGUUUGUCAUCUCUUUUAACGUUCUGGGGUAGCCUCGAUGAAAACCUAGAGCAGUCGUUCUUGACCUUGUCUGUAAGUUAGGAAACACUGGGAAGCUUUAAAAAAAUCUUAACCCCCCAUAUCCAGAUCAAUUAGAUGACCAUUUCUGGGUGUUGGGGGCUGAAUUUCACCCUCUCAAAAUUCAUACACUGAUGUCCUAAUCCCCUGUACUUCAACAUGCCAACCAAAACCUGCCAGCACCUUAAUCUUGGACUUUCAGCCUCCAGAACUGUGAGAAAAUAAAUUUCUGAUUUUUAAGCCACCUAUUCUGUGGUAUUUUGUUAUGGUAUUCCUAGCAAAUUAAUACAGAUUUGCAGAAUGGGAUGUGACAUCAGGAAUUUUUCAGGCAUCCCAUGUGAUUUUAAGGGGCAGCCAAGAUUGAGAACCACAAGCCUAGCAGAAGAGAAAGAGGCCCAGGGUCAAGAUGAGUGAACAUGGGGAAAAAUCAUGAAUGCUGUCAGUUACUUUCUAAAUACUGGUUAUCAUUAUCUUUCAUCCCUAGUGUGGCACCAUCAGUCACAAAAUCUCUUAAGUUUCCACUUACGUCUAGUUACAAUAUGCAGUUAGCUAAUGUACCACCCAGAAAACACCACAGGGUAACAGUCUGUGCCGUGAGAUAGUGACCUUUUAAAGGCACUUGAUGGGUAUGUGGGUUGGGUUCUCUCCCUCUGCCAGCAUUUCUACAGCUACUCCAAAGAGCAGUGAAUGCCUCAGAAAAGGGUCUCAUCCAAAUCCCAAGGGUGCCCCCUGCUGGAAAAGGUGUAGAAAUCAGCCCACAGAGCCCAGUAAAUACUGCUCAAGUUCAGUUUCUUUGAGAGGGAUUCUCAGAAUGUCAGUGCUGGAAGUUACCAUAGAUGGAAUGAAUCUCCCUCAUUUAUCAAAUGACGAAGAUGAAAUCCAUAUCAGGUAAGCAACUUGAAUAAAAUUACGUGGCUCUUAGUCUCUCUAUUGGAAGCUGAGCUCAGGAGACAGGAAUGAUUUCUAGAAGCUCAUUUAAACAAACAAGCAAAAAAACAA